GCACCCGGAAUGAACUAAGCCAUGCGAGUCAUUGUAGCAAUACAAGGCAGACGGCUCAGUAACGCGUAGUCAAUCUACCCUAUGGACGGGAAUAACCUCGGGAAACUGAGAAUAAUGCCCGAUAGAACAUUAUACCUGGAACGGUUUAUGUUUCAAAUGAUUUAUCGCCGUAGGAUGGGACUGCGGCCUAUCAGUUUGUUGGUGAGGUAAUGGCCCACCAAGACUAUUACAGGUACGGGCUCUGAGAGGAGUAGCCCGGAGAUGGGUACUGAGACACGGACCCAGGCCCUAUGGGGCGCAGCAGGCGAGAAAACUUUGCAAUGUGCGAAAGCACGACAAGGUUAAUCCGAGUGGUUUCUGCUAAAGAAACCUUUUGCUAGUCCUAGAAACACUAGUGAAUAAGGGGUGGGCAAGUUCUGGUGUCAGCCGCCGCGGUAAAACCAGCACCUCAAGUGGUCAGGAUGAUUAUUGGGCCUAAAGCAUCCGUAGCUCGUUUUGUAAGUUUUCGGUUAAAUCCAUACGCUUAACGUAUGGGCUGCCGGGAAUACUGCAUAACUAGGAAGUGGGAGAGGUAGACGGUACUCGGUAGGAAGGGGUAAAAUCCUUUGAUCUAUUGAUGACCACCUGUGGCGAAGGCGGUCUACCAGAACACGUUCGACGGUGAGGGAUGAAAGCUGGGGGAGCAAACCGGAUUAGAUACCCGGGUAGUCCCAGCUGUAAACUAUGCAAACUCAGUGAUGCAUUGGCUUGUGGCCAAUGCAGUGCUGCAGGGAAGCCGUUAAGUUUGCCGCCUGGGAAGUACGUACGCAAGUAUGAAACUUAAAGGAAUUGGCGGGGGAGCACCACAAAGGGGUGAAGCCUGCGGUUCAAUUGGAGUCAACGCCGGG
This 887-nucleotide ribosomal RNA is filed under the name uncultured archaeon. Its description in RNAcentral is "bacterial SSU rRNA". It matches the Rfam family "Archaeal small subunit ribosomal RNA", at positions 29 to 922 of the family's 1478-position model. The record is from RNAcentral.